GCGCAGCAGGCGCGAAACCUCCGCAAUACACGAAAGUGUGACGGGGCCAUCCCGAGUGCCGUCCGCUGAGGACGGCUUUUCCCCAGUGUACAUAGCUGGGGGAAUAAGGAGAGGGCAAGCCUGGUGUCAGCCGCCGCGGUAAUACCAGCUCUCCGAGUGGUGGGGACGCUUAUUGGGCCUAAAGCAUCCGUAGCCGGCUGGGCAAGUCCUCCGUUAAAUCCAACGAUUCAAUCGUUGGGCUGCGGGGGAUACCGUCCAGCUUGGGGGCGGGAGAGGCCGACGGUAUUCCCGGGGUAGGGGUGAAAUCCUAUAAUCCCGGGAGGACCACCAGUGCGAAGGCUGUCGGCUAGAACGCGCCCGACGGUGAGGGAUGGAAGCU
RNAcentral lists this ribosomal RNA (379 nucleotides) under uncultured microorganism. RNAcentral describes it as "bacterial SSU rRNA". It matches the Rfam family "Archaeal small subunit ribosomal RNA", at positions 330 to 712 of the family's 1478-position model. The record is from RNAcentral.